This 516-nucleotide ribosomal RNA is filed under the name uncultured bacterium. RNAcentral describes it as "bacterial SSU rRNA". It matches the Rfam family "Bacterial small subunit ribosomal RNA", at positions 28 to 535 of the family's 1533-position model. The record is from RNAcentral.
GAUGAACGCUAGCGGGAGGCUUAACACAUGCAAGUUGAGGGGCAGCAUAGGGUAGCAAUACCCUGAUGGCGACCGGCAGACGGGUGAGUAACGCGUAUGUAACCUACCCUGUACAGGGGGAUAACCCGGAGAAAUUCGGACUAAUAUCCCAUAGUAAUAUCCGGAGGCAUCUUUGGAUAUUUAAAGUUCCGGCGGUACGGGAUGGGCAUGCGUAACAUUAACUGGUUGGUAAGGUAACGGCCUACCAAGGCUAUGAUGUUUAGGGGUCCUGAGAGGGUGAUCCCCCACACUGGUACUGAGACACGGACCAGACUCCUACGGGAGCAGCAGUGAGGAAUAUUGGUCAAUGGGCGCAAGCCUGAACCAGCCAUCCCGCGUGCAGGAAGACGGCCCUAUGGGUUGUAAACUGCUUUUCCAGGGAGAGAAACCUGCGCACGUGUUGCGCAAUUGACGGUACCCUGGGAAUAAGCAUCGGCUAACUCCGUGCCAGCCAGCCCGCGGUAAACUCGUCUCUAC